RNAcentral lists this ribosomal RNA (484 nucleotides) under uncultured bacterium. RNAcentral's name for it is "partial 16S ribosomal RNA". It matches the Rfam family "Bacterial small subunit ribosomal RNA", at positions 28 to 523 of the family's 1533-position model. The record is from RNAcentral.
GACGAACGCUGGCGGCGUGCUUAACACAUGCAAGUCGAACGAUGAAGCCGGAGCUUGCUCUGGUGAAUUAGUGGCGAACGGGUGAGUAACACGUGAGUAACCUGCCCUUGACUCUGGGAUAACUGCUAGAAAUGGUAGCUAAUACCGGAUACGACCCUCGGAGGCAUCUCCAGGGGGUGGAAAGAAUUUCGGUCAAGGAUGGACUCGCGGCCUAUCAGCUAGUUGGUGGGGUAAUGGCUCACCAAGGCGACGACGGGUAGCCGGCCUGAGAGGGUGAACGGCCACACUGGGACUGAGACACGGCCCAGACUCCUACGGGAGGCAGCAGUGGGGAAUAUUGCACAAUGGGCGCAAGCCUGAUGCAGCAACGCCGCGUGAGGGAUGACGGCCUUCGGGUUGUAAACCUCUUUUAGUAGGGAAGAAGCGUAAGUGACGGUACCUGCAGAAAAAGCACCGGCUAACUACGUGCCAGCCGCCGCCGUAA